GAUGAACGCUAGCUACAGGCUUAACACAUGCAAGUCGAGGGGCAGCAUGAACUUAGCUUGCUAAGUUUGAUGGCGACCGGCGCACGGGUGAGUGACACGUAUCCAACCUUCCGUUUACUCAGGGAUAGCCUUUCGAAAGAAAGAUUAAUACCUGAUAGUAUGGUGAGAUUGCAUGAUAGCACCAUUAAAGAUUUAUUGGUAAACGAUGGGGAUGCGUUCCAUUAGGUAGUAGGCGGGGUAACGGCCCACCUAGCCGACGAUGGAUAGGGGUUCUGAGAGGAAGGUCCCCCACAUUGGAACUGAGACACGGUCCAAACUCCUACGGGAGGCAGCAGUGAGGAAUAUUGGUCAAUGGGCGAGAGCCUGAACCAGCCAAGUAGCGUGAAGGAUGAAGGUCCUACGGAUUGUAAACUUCUUUUAUACGGGAAUAAAGUAUCCUACGUGUAGGAUUUUGUAUGUACCGUAUGAAUAAGCAUCGGCUAACUCCGUGCCAGCAGCCGCGGUAAUACGGAGGAUGCGAGCGUUAUCCGGAUUUAUUGGGUUUAAAGGGAGCGCAAACGGGAGAUUAAAUCAGUUGUGAAAGUUUGCGGCUCAACCGUAAAAUUGCAGUUGAUACUGGUUUCCUUGAGUGCAGUUGAGGCAGGCGGAAUUCGUGGUGUAGCGGUGAAAUGCUUAGAUAUCACGAAGAACCCCGAUUGCGAAG
RNAcentral lists this ribosomal RNA (703 nucleotides) under uncultured bacterium. RNAcentral describes it as "bacterial SSU rRNA". It matches the Rfam family "Bacterial small subunit ribosomal RNA", at positions 28 to 720 of the family's 1533-position model. The record is from RNAcentral.